UUGCCCGAUGAUUAUAAAAAGACGCGAAAGAGGACUUGAAGCUGGAUCUUUUCCUUUUUUCUCUUCUAUUCUUUCUCACUCUCAUCUCUACUAUUCUUUCUCACUUGUCUCUACUUUCCCCCCUAUUCUCUGCUUCUUUUUCUCUUUGGAUAUCCAGCGUCCGAUGAGCGAAGAUUAUGAGAUAUGAGGGCAA
This 193-nucleotide small nucleolar RNA is filed under the name Cricetulus griseus (Chinese hamster). Its description in RNAcentral is "Small nucleolar RNA SNORD97 (ENSCGRG00015036656.1)". It matches the Rfam family "Small nucleolar RNA SNORD97". Lineage: Eukaryota; Metazoa; Chordata; Mammalia; Rodentia; Cricetidae. The record is from RNAcentral.